RNAcentral lists this unclassified non-coding RNA (858 nucleotides) under Hevea brasiliensis (rubber tree). Lineage: Eukaryota; Viridiplantae; Streptophyta; Magnoliopsida; Malpighiales; Euphorbiaceae. The record is from RNAcentral.
AUCUUGUAAACUCGAUCUCCAAAGCUGUGUAAGAAAGGUGUAAGGAAAAACAUCAUUCUGCAUAAUGCAAGCAAGAUGUCAACCAGAUCCAAUAAAAAAUGAACCUUGGAAGACUGAUUAAAUGCUUUAACAUGCAAACAAUAAUCAUAACAGGAAAACACUAGAUGACACCAGAAACCAAGCACACAGAACCCAAAAGGCAAACAUUUGAAAAACCAGUCAGGCUCAUCCAAUUGAAUUCUUAAUCAAUAGUCAGAGAGUUUGAGUGGCAAAUAAAGCUCCAGUUACUCCAGUUCUUUACAUUAUCCUCACAUGCCUAAGACACUUUUCAAACACCUGGAACAAGACACAAGUACUUUGGCACGAUCUUCCAAAUACAAGCAAAACAGAUGAAAAAACUGAAUAUAGUCAAGUUUGAUGGGGGUAUGCAUCUAACAUUCUAACUUGUUAAAAUCCAAAUUUUUAGGCACAAAUAAUUGGUUGAAGUUACAUGUAUCCAUUCAUUACAAUUAUGAAGGGUUUUUUUUCCCCAGUUAGCCUCAUGUUUCAAAUUGCACAGCAACAAAAGAUAAAGUUCUUAUGGGAAAAAAUUUUGUUGGCAAAGGAAGAGUAGCCACUAUUGCUUUUAGGAAAGCAAGGUCAGGAACAGAAAUCCAUUGCAAUCACAUAAAAAAAAUAUAACUAUUUGAGAAUCAUGCUCAGCAAGAGAAAUAUGAAAGCUUUGGCCAAAGGGACAGAAGAAAGAUAUUAAAGAGAAAAGUAGCAUCUAUAGUGUUUGUUUACUUUCUUCAUCAAUCAAUUCCCUUCUCUUUUUCAACCAAACCACUUUUCUAACUCUCCUCUCUCAUUCUCUUCCUC